GAUGAAGAACGCAGCGAAAUGCGAUACGUAAUGUGAAUUGCAGAAUUCAGUGAAUCAUCGAAUCUUUGAACGCAUAUUGCGCUCUCUGGUAUUCCGGAGAGCAUGCUUGUUUGAGUAUCAGUAAACACCUCAACUUCCAUAUCCUUUUUGAAAUGGGAGUUGGACUUGAGUGAUCCCAACGCUUUUCCUCACCGAAAAGUGGCGGGUUACUUGAAAUGCAGGUGCAGCUGGACUUUUCUCUGAGCUAUAAGCAUAUCUAUUUAGUCUGCCUAAAAAACAGAUUAUUACCUUUGCUGCAGCUAACAUAAAGGAGAUUAGUUCUUGUGCUGACUGAUGCAGGAUUCACAAAGACAGGCUUCGGCCGACUUUGUAAACUCGAUCUCAAAUCAAGUAAGACUACCCGCUGAACUUAAGCAUAUCAAUAAGCGGAGGA
This 433-nucleotide unclassified non-coding RNA is filed under the name soil metagenome. Its description in RNAcentral is "partial contains 5.8S ribosomal RNA, internal transcribed spacer 2, and large subunit ribosomal RNA". The stretch from base 1 to 120 matches the Rfam family "5.8S ribosomal RNA", at positions 35 to 154 of the family's 154-position model. The record is from RNAcentral.